GAACGCUAGCGGCAGGCCUAACACAUGCAAGUCGAGGGGCAGCACAAAGAUAGUUUACUAUUUUGGUGGCGACCGGCGCACGGGUGAGUAACGCGUAUGCAACCUACCUUAUACAGGAGUAUAGCCCGAAGAAAUUCGGAUUAAUCCUCCAUAGUAUUUUCUAAUGGCAUCAUUUGGAAAAUUAAAGCUUCGGCGGUAUAAGAUGGGCAUGCGUCCUAUUAGCUAGAUGGUAAGGUAACGGCUUACCAUGGCAACGAUAGGUAGGGGGCCUGAGAGGGUGAUCCCCCACACUGGUACUGAGACACGGACCAGACUCCUACGGGAGGCAGCAGUGAGGAAUAUUGGGCAAUGGAGGCAACUCUGACCCAGCCAUGCCGCGUGCAGGAAGAAUGCCCUAUGGGUUGUAAACUGCUUUUAUUUAGGAAUAAACCCUUCUACGUGUAGAAGGCUGAAUGUACUAAACGAAUAAGCACCG
RNAcentral lists this ribosomal RNA (475 nucleotides) under uncultured Bacteroidota bacterium. RNAcentral describes it as "bacterial SSU rRNA". It matches the Rfam family "Bacterial small subunit ribosomal RNA", at positions 31 to 495 of the family's 1533-position model. Lineage: Bacteria; Pseudomonadati; Bacteroidota. The record is from RNAcentral.